UAGCGGCAGGCUAACACAUGCAGUCUGAACGGUAACAGAGAAGAGCUUGCUCUUUUGCUGACGAGUGGCGCACGGGUGAGUAACGCGUAUACAAUCUACCUUUUACAGGGGGAUAGCCUUUAAAAUGAAGAUUAAUAUCCCAUAGUAAGUUAUCAUUGCAUGAUAGUAACUUUAAAGUUUCGGCGGUAAAAGAUGAGUAUGCGUUCUAUUAGCUAGAUGGUGUGGUAACGGCACACCAUGGCAACGAUAGAUAGGGGCCCUGAGAGGGGGAUCCCCCACACUGGUACUGAGACACGGACCAGACUCCUACGGGAGGCAGCAGUGAGGAAUAUUGGACAAUGGGCGCGAGCCUGAUCCAGCCAUGCCGCGUGCAGGAAGACUGCCCUAUGGGUUGUAAACUGCUUUUAUACAGGAAGAAACCUUUUCACGUGUGAAAAGCUGACGGUACUGUAAGAAUAAGGAUCGGCUAACUCCGUGCCAGCAGCCGCGGUAAUACGGAGGAUCCAAGCGUUAUCCGGAAUCAUUGGGUUUAAAGGGUCCGUAAGGUGGAUAAUUAAGUCAGGGGUGAAAGUUUGCAGCUCAACUGUAAAAUUGCCUUUGAUACUGGUUAUCUUGAAUUAUUGUGAAGUGGUUAGAAUAUGUAGUGUAGCGGUGAAAUGCAUAGAUAUUACAUAGAAUACCAAUUGCGAAGGCAGAUCACUAACAAUAUAUUGACACUGAUGGACGAAAGCGUGGGGAGCGAACAGGAUUAGAUACCCUGGUAGUCCACGCCGUAAACGAUGGAUACUAGCUGUUCGGACUUCGGUCUGAGUGGCUAAGCGAAAGUGAUAAGUAUCCCACCUGGGGAGUACGUUCGCAAGAAUGAAACUCAAAGGAAUUGACGGGGGCCCGCACAAGCGGUGGAGCAUGUGGUUUAAUUCGAUGAUACGCGAGGAACCUUACCAGGGCUUAAAUGUAGAUUGCAUUAGGUGGAGACACUUAUUUCUUCGGACUAUCUACAAGGUGCUGCAUGGUUGUCGUCAGCUCGUGCCGUGAGGUGUCAGGUUAAGUCCUAUAACGAGCGCAACCCCUGUUGUUAGUUGCCAGCGAGUCAUGUCGGGAACUCUAACAAGACUGCCAGUGCAAACUGUGAGGAAGGUGGGGAUGACGUCAAAUCAUCACGGCCCUUACGUCCUGGGCUACACACGUGCUACAAUGGUAGGGACAGAGAGCAGCCACUGGGUGACCAGGAGCGAAUCUAUAAACCCUAUCACAGUUCGGAUCGGAGUCUGCAACUCGACUCCGUGAAGCUGAAUCGCUAGUAAUCGCAUAUCACCAUGAU
Molecule: ribosomal RNA, 1321 nt
Filed under: Winogradskyella sp. AECF-26a
Lineage: Bacteria; Pseudomonadati; Bacteroidota; Flavobacteriia; Flavobacteriales; Flavobacteriaceae
Description: bacterial SSU rRNA
Rfam family: Bacterial small subunit ribosomal RNA
Source: RNAcentral